GCUGGGGGAUAACCUCGCGAAAGUGAGAACAAUACCCCAUGGGUCACUAUGCCUGGAACGGUUAGUGGCUGAAAGCUCCGGCGGCACAGGAUGGGUCUGCGGCGUAUCAGGUCGUAGGGGGUGUAACGUACCUCCUAGCCUUCGACGCGUACGGGUUGUGAGAGCAAUUGCCCGGAGAUGGAUUCUGAGACACGAAUCCAGGCCCUACGGGGCGCAGCAGGCGCGAAAACUUGACAAUGCGAGAAAUCGUGAUCAGGGGACUCCAGUUGGCUGGAUCAAAAGUCCAGUCUGAACCGACUUUAAAUCGGUCGGGUAAUAGGGGCGGGAAAGACCGGUGCCAGCCGCCGCGGUAAUACCGGCGCCCCAAGUGGUCGUCACUAUUAUUGGGCCUAAAACGUCCGUAGCCGGUUUGGUAAAUCCGUGGGUAAAUCAGACAGCCCAACUGUCUGAAUUCUGCGGGGACUGCCAGACUUGAGACCGGGAGAGGUGCGGGGUACUUGCGGGGUACCGGUAAAAUGGGAUCAUCCCGUAGAGACCACCUGUUGCGAAGGCGCCGCACUAGAACGGAUCUGACGGUCAGGGACGAAGCCUAGGGGCACGAACCGGAUUAGAUACCCGGGUAGUCCUAGGUGUAAACGCUGUGGACUUGGUGUCGGGGACCUUCUGAGGGUUUCCGGUGCCGGAGUGAAGAUGUUAAGUCCACUGCCUGGGGAGUACGGUCGCAAGGCUGAAACUUAAAGGAAUUGGCGGGGGAGCACCGCAACGAGAGGAGCGUGCGGUUU
This 782-nucleotide ribosomal RNA is filed under the name uncultured Candidatus Poseidoniales archaeon. RNAcentral describes it as "SSU rRNA". It matches the Rfam family "Archaeal small subunit ribosomal RNA", at positions 118 to 903 of the family's 1478-position model. Lineage: Archaea; Methanobacteriati; Thermoplasmatota; Candidatus Poseidoniia; Candidatus Poseidoniales. The record is from RNAcentral.